UGCAGUCGAACGCUGAAGCCUGGUGCUUGCACCGGGUGGAUGAGUGGCGAACGGGUGAGUAACACGUGAGUAACCUGCCCCUGACUUCGGGAUAAGCCCGGGAAACUGGGUCUAAUACCGGAUACGACUGCCGGACGCAUGUCUGGUGGUGGAAAGUUUUUUCGGUUGGGGAUGGGCUCGCGGCCUAUCAGUUUGUUGGUGAGGUAAUGGCUCACCAAGACGACGACGGGUAGCCGGCCUGAGAGGGCGACCGGCCACACUGGGACUGAGACACGGCCCAGACUCCUACGGGAGGCAGCAGUGGGGAAUAUUGCACAAUGGGGGAAACCCUGAUGCAGCGACGCAGCGUGCGGGAUGACGGCCUUCGGGUUGUAAACCGCUUUCAGCAGGGAAGAAGCGCAAGUGACGGUACCUGCAGAAGAAGUACCGGCUAACUACGUGCCAGCAGCCGCGGUAAUACGUAGGGUACGAGCGUUGUCCGGAAUUAUUGGGCGUAAAGAGCUCGUAGGUGGUUGGUCACGUCUGCUGUGGAAACGCAACGCUUAACGUUGCGCGUGCAGUGGGUACGGGCUGACUAGAGUGCAGUAGGGGAGUCUGGAAUUCCUGGUGUAGCGGUGAAAUGCGCAGAUAUCAGGAGGAACACCGGUGGCGAAGGCGGGACUCUGGGCUGUAACUGACACUGAGGAGCGAAAGCAUGGGGAGCGAACAGGAUUAGAUACCCUGGUAGUCCAUGCCGUAAACGUUGGGCACUAGGUGUGGGGGGCAUUCCACGUUCUCCGCGCCGUAGCUAACGCAUUAAGUGCCCCGCCUGGGGAGUACGGUCGCAAGGCUAAAACUCAAAGGAAUUGACGGGGGCCCGCACAAGCGGCGGAGCAUGCGGAUUAAUUCGAUGCAACGCGAAGAACCUUACCAAGGCUUGACAUACACCGGACCGUCCUGGAAACAGGUCCUCUUCUUUGAAGCUGGUGUACAGGUGGUGCAUGGUUGUCGUCAGCUCGUGUCGUGAGAUGUUGGGUUAAGUCCCGCAACGAGCGCAACCCUCGUUCUAUGUUGCCAGCACGUGAUGGUGGGAACUCAUAGGAGACUGCCGGGGUCAACUCGGAGGAAGGUGGGGAUGACGUCAAAUCAUCAUGCCCUUUAUGUCUUGGGCUUCACGCAUGCUACAAUGGCUGGUACAGAGAGAGGCGAACCCGUGAGGGCAAGCGAAUCCCUUAAAGCCAGUCUCAGUUCGGAUCGUAGUCUGCAAUUCGACUACGUGAAGUCGGAGUCGCUAGUAAUCGCAGAUCAGCAACGCUGCGGUGAAUACGUUCCCGGGCCUUGUACACACCGCCCGUCAAGUCACGAAAGUCGGUAACACCCGAAGCCGGUGGCCUAACCGUAAGGAGGGGGCCGU
Molecule: ribosomal RNA, 1393 nt
Filed under: Brevibacterium casei
Lineage: Bacteria; Bacillati; Actinomycetota; Actinomycetes; Micrococcales; Brevibacteriaceae
Description: bacterial SSU rRNA
Rfam family: Bacterial small subunit ribosomal RNA
Source: RNAcentral